Molecule: long non-coding RNA, 1425 nt
Filed under: Struthio camelus australis
Lineage: Eukaryota; Metazoa; Chordata; Aves; Struthioniformes; Struthionidae
Description: lncRNA (ENSSCUG00000016621.1)
Source: RNAcentral
UUUGCUAGCAAAACAACACUAGGGGGGACGUUUAGCUCCCUAAAGGGUCCAAAUAAAAAGGCGUAUUAAUGAACCACAAAACUCUGUAGAAUGAGUUUAGGUUAUUGCUGGUGAAGUUUAACCAGGUGCCAGGUUCUAAAGUAGCCACUCAGUAACAAAGGGUUCCAGCAUCCUUUUAGUCCUUAAUGAGAGCUGCUGUCUAAUGCAGAAGCUACCUCAGUCAAAGAAAGACCAAAAUGUUGCUAACGCCUGAAUAACUUGGGAUGGGUCAGUACGCUUGAUUCUGGUUGAAAGUGUCAGCUUGGAUCUGAAGAUGCACUGUGGGGAUAUACCCUGUGUGUUGGGGAGUUUGUCUUGCCUGUUCUGCUGGUUAAAUCCAGGGUGGGGUGAAAAUGAGGAAAGCCGAGAGACUGUUUUGCAGCAGAAACCUAUUGCUUGCACUGCAGACAGAAGCAAAUUAUGCAAAUUCCUCUCAUUGGCAGUAGCUGGAGUUCCUAGAGCAACCCAAGGCAUCAUUUCCUUUAAUGUUUUUUAUGUGAAUUUGAGAGUUGCUGGAGGAGAUGGACACCCAGCUCCAGUUGACUUUUUGAGGAAACUGCUAAUGAGAUCGGUUUUGCUCAUAGCUUUUUCAAGACCUGCAAGCAUCGGUAAAGCUGGGAAGAAAGCAGUUGGAUGGAUGCAGAGAGGAUGAUCUCAGAAUAUGCACUGAGAGCAGGAGCAGCAGAAGCCUGGAAGGGGCCUUGUAACUGCCCGAAGGAAGGCUGACACCAGAGAGCCACUUUCCCUUCGGCAGUCAGAGAACUUAUGUGUGAGCUGCCAGAUUUGAACUGUGAAAAUAUGGGACAUGGUGACAGAGGAAGACAAAUGGGAGUAGGCAAUGAGGGAGCAAACGUUCUGAUGUGCAUUUCAUACCCAGCUGCCCAAAGCUUCCCAUCGCCACACAGAGCUGCUGCCACUGCUAAACUUGCCACCCGUUUUCAAAGCCGCCUCUGAUGGCUGCUCACACCCAAAUGAGAGCUUCAGGGAGCGGCAGAGCUAUGGGAAAGCAGAGGAGGCAGGGAGCAGCUGUAGCUCUUUGCCCCUCAUGGGGCAGCAGCACUCGAGCAGCUGUAUCCCCGGGGGACUCCUGCCUGCCUGCAUUUUCUAAGGGACAUUGGAGCGUCAGCUGGGAGAUCCCAGACUGCACAGGCAGCCCUGCGAGGAGAAUCGAUACGGUUCCCUGGGAGAGCCUCAAUCAUUAUAGUUUGAAUCUCUGCUAGUCAAAGGCUGUUUGGAGAGAUGGCAUUCCCAGGAAGGGCCCUGUGCACGGCUGAGUUCUCUAGCAGGACGUAUCCCCUAGAUCUCAUGGGGGAGCCCUUCCCCCAGUGCCCAUGUAGUGUCUUGCUAUCUGGUAGCAUUUCCAGGCCCUAUACUGAGAGAACUUGC